RNAcentral lists this ribosomal RNA (497 nucleotides) under uncultured bacterium. RNAcentral's name for it is "partial 16S ribosomal RNA". It matches the Rfam family "Bacterial small subunit ribosomal RNA", at positions 28 to 507 of the family's 1533-position model. The record is from RNAcentral.
GAUGAACGCUGGCGGCGUGCCUAAUACAUGCAAGUCGAGCGAACAGACGAGGAGCUUGCUCCUCUGACGUUAGCGGCGGACGGGUGAGUAACACGUGGAUAACCUACCUAUAAGACUGGGAUAACUUCGGGAAACCGGAGCUAAUACCGGAUAAUAUAUUGAACCGCAUGGUUCAAUAGUUAAAGACGGUUUUGCUGUCACUUAUAGAUGGAUCCGCGCCGCAUUAGCUAGUUGGUAAGGUAACGGCUUACCAAGGCAACGAUGCGUAGCCGACCUGAGAGGGUGAUCGGCCACACUGGAACUGAGACACGGUCCAGACUCCUACGGGAGGCAGCAGUAGGGAAUCUUACGCAAUGGGCGAAAGCGUGACGGAGCAAAGCCGCGUGAGUGAUGAAGGUCUUCGGAUCGUAAAACUCUGUUAUUAGGGAAGAACAAAUGUGUAAGUAACUAUGCACGUCUUGACGGUACCUAAUCAGAAAGCCACGGCUAACUACGUG